GCCCUGGUGGAUCACGGUAGGUCGUCCCUCCUCCAUGAAGUCUUUCUGGUCCUCAGAGGGAAGACGGGGGUUCGACUCCUCCCCAGGGCA
Molecule: non-coding RNA, 90 nt
Organism: Mycena rosella
Lineage: Eukaryota; Fungi; Basidiomycota; Agaricomycetes; Agaricales; Mycenaceae
Source: the annotation of a GenBank genome assembly